Molecule: long non-coding RNA, 1963 nt
Organism: Mytilus californianus (California mussel)
Lineage: Eukaryota; Metazoa; Mollusca; Bivalvia; Mytilida; Mytilidae
Exons: 3
Source: RefSeq, a predicted model, not a curated record
GGUAUAGCUUAUCUGGUUAUCUUUGACAGUUAAAUAGUGUAGAAGAUGAGGAUGAUUAUUAUUAGAUAUAUCACAAACAAUUUCAGGUCAAUCAUUUAAUACAAAUAGCCUAUAUAUCUACUAGGUCUUAGUUACAGGAAAUGUCUAAUUGUCUAGUAUCAUAUGCUUGGUAAGGACAUAGAUUUUUGCCUUAAAUGAAGAUACAUACAAAUCAAAUAUCUUUUAAAAUGUGCUGGAAAUGAUUAUAUAAGAUUACCAACAUGUAACAAUGUGUGGAAACUAGAGUUAUUUUAUAGCUUUUCAAAUAGAGAUAAUUCUUUUGAGUAAAGCUAUUUAGAUGAAUGCUUAUAUGUCAUUUUCUACAAAUGACCAGGUCAGAAAAGGUCAUCACAGAUCAUUUAAAACUUAUUUUUAAGACAAUGAUAAUCAAAUGUCAUUACAUGUAAUAGUAGAAUAACUCAGUCACAAAAGACUGUGUAAAAGGAGCAUACUUUAAAAAAAUAUAGAAAACCACAUAAUUCACAAUUCACAUGAUUUGGAAAUACUGCUCUAAAACAGUAUACAUGUACUUGUUUGUAAAAAACUAUUUGUUGAUAUUCUCCAGUUAUGAAAUUAAAAUUGUAAAGAAAGGUAUAAGAAAAAAAAAAGAAAAAGUUUUUUUUCAAGCUUUUUUCUCAUGCCUUUCCCUUAGCCUGGCAUCCUGACCCAAUCUAAUACUUCGUCGAUAGGGCCAGGCGUAAUACAAUCCACGUGACCAACUAUCAGCGCUGAACAGGACUGAAUUACUGCGCAUGCGCGUAUUUUAUAAUCAAGGAAUAUAUCGAUCGGAUUGUAAAUUAACUGUUGAUUCACGAUGUUAAUCAACAACGCUUGGAUUAUAUUUGUUAAAGUUUUCGAAAUUUGCAUUUCAUAUUAAAAUAAAAAUAGUUUUCAAUAAAUUUGUGGCAAUAUAAAUAUUUCCCGCCAUGUGUCAAGAAAUGAAGCUAUCCCAAGAUGCAUCAUUCUAACAUCCAAUUGACAGAACCAUGUUGUUGUAUUCCGCCUGGCUCUACUGUCGAGCAGUGAGCCAGGAUCCCAGGCUAGCCUUUCCCUUUACAGUUUUAUUAAUGGGAGAUAAUCAGUUUUACUUAAUUUAUUAAGGGUGGAUAACAUUAAAUAGCCAAUCUAAAACUUUGAUUUGAUUAGAAAUGUAAAAGGUAUUGUAAGCAAAUCUUAAAAUCUUGCCCACUAUGUGUUACUUUGAUGUAUGCAUGGUAGAUAACUCUUUCCUCCUUAUGACAGUACAUUUUAAUCAAUAAAUAUUUUUUCUGCAGAUGAGGAAUUUCAUAGUAUGCAUUUAUUUAGAAAAAUAAAUAACUAUUUAUUAUAUUCAAUCUGAAUUAGUUUUUUGCAGUGUUAAGAUAUGAUUUAUUACUUGAAAUUGUUUGUUCUAAUGAAUUAAUGAAAUCAUAUUGAAAAAUGAAUAUUUUGUGAGCUCUUGUUGUACUAAUGUUAAAUUUACAAAGUACAGGUAUUUGACUUUUUGGGGGUCUUUAUGACAGAGGAUCAUGAGAAGGUAUUUGACUUUUUGGGGGUCUUUAUGACAGAGGAUCAUGAGAAGGUAUUUGAGUUUUGGGGGUCUUUAUGACAGAGGAUCAUGAGAAGGUAUUUGACUUUUGGGGGUCUUUAUUACAGAGGAUCAUGAGAAGGUAUUUGACUUUUGGGGGUCUUUAUGACAGAGGAUCAUGAGAAGGUAUUUGACUUUUGGGGGUCUUUAUUACAGAGGAUCAUGAGAAGGUAUUUGACUUUUGGGGGUCUUUAUGACAGAGGAUCAUGAGAAGGUAUUUGACUUUUGGGGGUCUUUAUUACAGAGGAUCAUGAGAAGGUAUUUGAGUUUUGAGGGUCUUUAUUACAGAGGAUCUUGAGAAGGUAUUGGAGUUUUGAGGGUCUUUAUCACAGAGGAUUAUAAGUAGGUACUUCAGUU